Molecule: ribosomal RNA, 492 nt
Filed under: uncultured bacterium
Lineage: Bacteria
Description: partial 16S ribosomal RNA
Rfam family: Bacterial small subunit ribosomal RNA
Source: RNAcentral
GACGAACGCUGGCGGCGUGCUUAACACAUGCAAGUCGAACGGUGAAGCGCCUUCCUUUUUGGUGGGUGUGGAUGAGUGGCGAACGGGUGAGUAACACGUGAGUAACCUGCCCCCUUCUUCUGGAUAACCGCAUGAAAGUGUGGCUAAUACGGGAUAUUCUGGGUCUGUCGCAUGGUGGGUCUGGGAAAGAUAUUGUUUCGGUGGGGGAUGGGCUCGCGGCCUAUCAGCUUGUUGGUGGGGUGAUGGCCUACCAAGGCGGUGACGGGUAGCCGGCCUGAGAGGGUGGACGGUCACACUGGGACUGAGACACGGCCCAGACUCCUACGGGAGGCAGCAGUGGGGAAUAUUGCACAAUGGGCGCAAGCCUGAUGCAGCGACGCCGCGUGAGGGAUGGAGGCCUUCGGGUUGUGAACCUCUUUCGCCAGUGAAGCAGGCCUGCCUCGUUUGUGGGUGGGUUGACGGUAGCUGGAUAAGAAGCGCCGGCUAACUACG